RNAcentral lists this long non-coding RNA (2015 nucleotides) under Homo sapiens (human). Its description in RNAcentral is "HSALNT0072800". Lineage: Eukaryota; Metazoa; Chordata; Mammalia; Primates; Hominidae. The record is from RNAcentral.
GUGGGACUUAAUCUACUGAGUGACUUUGGCUGUAGGACUUCCUGUUGGCCUUGCCAAAUCUUUCUUGAAGUUGCGCUGCAUUCUGAGACUUCUUAUUCAAACUUGCUGUUUUCUCCUUAUUCUUUUCAGCAGACUUGUGGCUAAAGAUCUCCUCACCUUGUUUAUCUCCCUCACCUUUAUUCUUAACUCUCAUGUUCUUCAAUAAUUCACUGUGCAUCAAAUUCUGUCUUAGUGUAUGUUUCUCAGAGGAACAUCACAAACAAAUGUUUGCAGUAGUAGUCUGAAAAAACAGGCAAGAAGUUAGAAAACCCCAGCUGGUGCUGUUCCAGUUAUUAAAGAUUUCACUGUUGGAGACCUGCAAAAUGUCCUAGUGGUAAGUGCAACGAUUUCAGAUUUGAAAGAUAUGAGAAGAUCAAUGCCCAUAGUAAUAUCAGAGUUAGCCAGUUACAACUGAGUUGUAUCGACACAUUGCAGAGAAAUAGUGAAAAACUGAGGUAACAAGCAGUUUAGAGGCUACGUAUGAAAGGGAAUUUUUUUGGUAACUUACAAAGAGACAUUAAUUUCUGGGAAUGGAUAAGUCUGCACAGCUGAAAAGCAGACUGGGCAUCUGAUAAUUAUAGCUCUCAGGUAACAGUUACAUUUCCAAGUGAAAUAGGUUAUUAUGCUAAGGUCAGAGCCUUAUUGUUAAAACCUGGGACCCAGAAAUAUGGGAUGAGACUAGAUGAGUGCCUCACAUGAUGUUGGCUGCACAAAGCCUUUUAAUUUCUCCUAGCUUGUGAACGUGGCCAACCCAUCCCUAAUAGGAGUCAGAAUUUCUCCUAGGCUGGAAGAUGCUGCUUCAACAAGACAAUAAGGCAUCUACUCAUGAGUUGUCUCUAUCUUCUCUCUUGGCCUCCAGUUUCACUAGGGUUAAAUUCAAGGGAGAGUUAUUUGGAACUUGCUGAUCCUGAUAAGGGAAGAAAAGGAUUAUAUGAUAAAGCAGUUGUAAUGAUUAGAUUUAAAAAGUUCACAGGAGGCAAGAGAGUAUUCCUAAUAUUGAUUUAGAUUGAGUUUGCUUACCUGGACCAGAAUAUAAGACAUUGUAAACAAGAAGAGCCAUUGAUUUGGAGACAUUUUCUUGGGAUUCCAUAUUUUGUACCCAGGGAAGGACUCCACAAGUUUGGGAAGCUCACUGCUGGAGUGGAUCUUAGAGGUACAGAGAAAGUGAUGGCCAACACUAAAUGACGUAUAAAUGAAUGUGUUUUCCCUGCAGGUUGUAGGGUAAUAAAUAAACAGCUGACAUGAGUAGAAAUGCUGGGUUGGAUAUAGAAUGUGAGGUUGGAAGAGUCACAGAGGAUAACAUUUCUAUUUCACUUGUAGCCCAGAGGACCCACUAUUCAUCAAGGCUACCAGAAUACACUUUUGUGGAAUACCAACAUCACCAACAAGUUCAAUAACAACUUUCCUCUAUGAGUUAAUUCUUAGGCUCCCUCAGAGGUCAAAAUGUGGCUUAGGACCGAGUUCCAUUACACAGAUGAUGGAAGGAACCACACCAACUUAAGCAUCCAGGUCAGAUACUUUUCCCAAUGUAAGCCACACCCUGAGAGUAUGGUUGAGUAAAUGUGCUUUUGGGUGACACUUGACCAAUGAAAGGAAAAAACGGAAGAUAGCAUGUAAGUUGGUAUGCUCACAUAGACUGUUUUGAGAUGCAGAAAAUUAUUUCACACAUUCAGAAGAUAUUUGGUGGCAUUGAGGAACCAGUUAUGUUUUUUCUGACUCUUCAGGUCAGCUCAAUAAGACAACAACUUCAAUUUUCCUUCCCCUUCUCUGCUUUACUUUCCUGCUUCCCUCAUUCUGGAUUUUCUGGGAUUGCUCACCCUAAAUAAGUGUUAAAUGCUAUCUUUGUCUCAAUAUCUAGUUUCUAAGAACCUCAGAUUGAGAAAAGAUGGUGUGUUGACACAUUCAAAGAGGUAGAGACGUUUUUGAAAGAGGUUUUUGAAAGAGGUUUUUUUUUUUUUUUUUCCUCUCUUUCCAGG